GCUGGGUGUGGUGGCGCAUGCCUAUAAUCCCAGCAACUUCGGAGGCUGAGGCAGGAAGAUUUGAGUCCAAAGCAGCCUUAGCAACUUAGCAAGGCAACAAGCAACUCAGUGAGACCCUGUCUCUA
Molecule: small RNA, 125 nt
Filed under: Marmota monax (woodchuck)
Lineage: Eukaryota; Metazoa; Chordata; Mammalia; Rodentia; Sciuridae
Source: RNAcentral